ACUCCUACGGGAGGCAGCAGUAGGGAAUCUUCCACAAUGGACGAAAGUCUGAUGGAGCAACGCCGCGUGAGUGAAGAAGGGUUUCGGCUCGUAAAACUCUGUUGUUAAAGAAGAACAUAUCUGAGAGUAACUGUUCAGGUAUUGACGGUAUUAACCAGAAAGACCACGGCUAACUAACGUGCCAGCAGCCGCGGUAAUACGUAGGUGGCAAGCGUUGUCCGGAUUUAUUGGGCGUAAAGACGAGCGCAGGCGGUUUUUAAGUUCUGAUGUGAAAGCCUUCGGCUCAACCGAAGAAGUGCAUCGGAAACUGGGAAACUUGAGUGCAGAAGAGGACAGUGGAACUCCAUGUGUAGCGGUGAAAUGCGUAGAUAUAUGGAAGAACACCAGUGGCGAAGGCGGCUGUCUGGUCUGUAACUGACGCUGAGGCUCGAAAGUAUGGGUAGCAAACAGGAUUAGAUACCCUGGUAGGAUAGCC
Molecule: ribosomal RNA, 475 nt
Filed under: uncultured bacterium
Lineage: Bacteria
Description: bacterial SSU rRNA
Rfam family: Bacterial small subunit ribosomal RNA
Source: RNAcentral